AUUUCACAUUCUGAAUCUCACAAAUCCGUUUUGAAUCACAUUAGUUUUAAAUGCAAAACCCUGAUUGGAAAACUCACCAUGUAUUCUUCAUGCAUUAUUUUUAUUAAAAGUUAAUAUCUGUGCAUUUUUGUCCCCACAUUUUUAAUUUCUCAUUGAUUUAGAGAUACUCUACACCUGCCUGUCUUUUCUACGCACAAAUGUGUUGUUAAAAAACUAUACAAACAUGUAGUCAUUACUUUUUACAGGUUCUGUUACAGCAGUAGUUAUAGAAUGAAUGUAUAAUGUAUUUAAAGAGCGCUAGCGGGUGUAGUUAGCAGUGAUUACAGUACAGUAGAGGGAGAUACAGUAAGUACAGUGAUCAUAAAAUGACUGUAUACAUGAUUUUAUUUAUACAGCACUAUCAGGUGUGCUCAGUACGUUACAGGUUGUAAAACAAGAGUAAGCUGCAGUACUUAUAUAGUGUAUGUGUGUGUAUUUUAUUCAUAAAAGUGUAUUCAUU
This is a non-coding RNA of Pelobates cultripes (western spadefoot toad), 499 nucleotides long. NCBI's taxonomy places the organism in Eukaryota, Metazoa, Chordata, Amphibia, Anura, Pelobatidae. The record is from the annotation of a GenBank genome assembly.